AUUGAACGCUGGCGGCAGGCCUAACACAUGCAAGUCGAGCGGAUGAAGGGAGCUUGCUCCUGGAUUCAGCGGCGGACGGGUGAGUAAUGCCUAGGAAUCUGCCUGGUAGUGGGGGAUAACGUCCGGAAACGGGCGCUAAUACCGCAUACGUCCUGAGGGAGAAAGUGGGGGAUCUUCGGACCUCUCGCUAUCAGAUGAGCCUAGGUCGGAUUAGCUAGUUGGUGGGGUAAAGGCCUACCAAGGCGACGAUCCGUAACUGGUCUGAGAGGAUGAUCAGUCACACUGGAACUGAGACACGGUCCAGACUCCUACGGGAGGCAGCAGUGGGGAAUAUUGGACAAUGGGCGAAAGCCUGAUCCAGCCAUGCCGCGUGUGUGAAGAAGGUCUUCGGAUUGUAAAGCACUUUAAGUUGGGAGGAAGGGCAGUAAGUUAAUACCUUGCUGUUUUGACGGUACCAACAGAAUAAGCACCGGCUAACUUCGUG
RNAcentral lists this ribosomal RNA (484 nucleotides) under uncultured bacterium. RNAcentral describes it as "partial 16S ribosomal RNA". It matches the Rfam family "Bacterial small subunit ribosomal RNA", at positions 30 to 507 of the family's 1533-position model. The record is from RNAcentral.